This is a long non-coding RNA of Dromaius novaehollandiae (emu), 548 nucleotides long. RefSeq lists it as uncharacterized. The transcript has 2 exons. NCBI's taxonomy places the organism in Eukaryota, Metazoa, Chordata, Aves, Casuariiformes, Dromaiidae. The record is from RefSeq and is a predicted model, not a curated record.
CAUUUCCAGCAGCUCCACUCCCUCAAGGCUGGGAGGUGUUUUUUGACUCUCUCUCUAACACACAACCCCCGGGGUCAGGCUCAGCAUGCACCCUGAGUAUCUCAUCCUCGCUGCCUUCCUGUGGCAACCACUGGGUGCCAUGGGCCAGACCACUGUCACCCAGCAAGAGGGACCAGUCCCGGUGGAGGAGAGGGGCACCUUCCACACCACCUGCACAUACCAGACCUCGAACUUUUAUGGCUUGUCUUGGUACCAACAGAAGGAAGACCGAGCCCUGCAAGCUGGUCUCAUCUCAGGCGGCAGCUGGCCUCAAGCAGAGUGGCUGAUUCACCACAGUGCUGAACACCACUGGGUUCUGGAGGCCAAAGCCAGGAGUGAGGGAUCAUCUAAGCUCUGACUGUGGAAUAGUACCUGCCACUGGUGGCUCCUGUAGGGGCUGAAAAGCCUCUUCCUUGUGGCAGUGCUUGUAGGUCUGUGAGGGACAAAUGCUGGGAAAGCAGAGGUGUUUUCAGCCUGUGGAGAUCAGGAACACGUCUGUGUACUCGUCA